This 512-nucleotide ribosomal RNA is filed under the name uncultured Candida. RNAcentral's name for it is "eukaryotic LSU rRNA". It matches the Rfam family "Eukaryotic large subunit ribosomal RNA", at positions 63 to 632 of the family's 3401-position model. The record is from RNAcentral. Lineage: Eukaryota; Fungi; Ascomycota; Saccharomycetes; Saccharomycetales.
AACCAACCGGGAUUGCCUCAGUAACGGCGAGUGAAGCGGCAAAAAGCUCAAAUUUGAAAUCUCCGUAAGGCGAGUUGUAAUUUGAAGAGGGUACUUUGGGGCGGCGCCUUGUCUAUGUUCCUUGGAACAGGACGUCACAGAGGGUGAGAAUCCCGUGCGAUGAGGAGAGCCGUUCUAUGUAAAGUUCCUUCGACGAGUCGAGUUGUUUGGGAAUGCAGCUCUAAGUGGGUGGUAAAUUCCAUCUAAAGCUAAAUAUUGGCGAGAGACCGAUAGCGAACAAGUACAGUGAUGGAAAGAUGAAAAGCACUUUGAAAAGAGAGUGAAAAAGUACGUGAAAUUGUUGAAAGGGAAGGGCUUGAGAUCAGACUUGGUGACUCGUCACUGGGCCAGCAUCGGUUCGGGCGGCAGGGAGAAUGCCGUGGGAAAGUGGGCUCUCUUCGGGGAGAGUGUUAUAGCCCGCGGAGAUACUGCCUGCGUGGACCCGAGGACUGCGGCAACUAGGAUGCUGGCAA